RNAcentral lists this ribosomal RNA (503 nucleotides) under uncultured bacterium. Its description in RNAcentral is "bacterial SSU rRNA". It matches the Rfam family "Bacterial small subunit ribosomal RNA", at positions 30 to 524 of the family's 1533-position model. The record is from RNAcentral.
AUUGAACGCUGGCGGAAUGCUUUACACAUGCAAGUCGAACGGCAGCACGGGUGCUUGCACCUGGUGGCGAGUGGCGAACGGGUGAGUAAUGCACCGGAACGUAUCCAAUAAUGGGGGAUAACGCACCGAAAGGUGUGCUAAUACCGCAUACGCCCUGAGGGGGAAAGCGGGGGAUCGUAAGACCUCGCGUUAAUGGAGCGGCCGAUGCCGGAUUAGCUAGUUGGUGAGGUAAAGGCUCACCAAGGCGACGAUCCGUAGCUGGUCUGAGAGGACGACCAGCCACACUGGAACUGAGACACGGUCCAGACUCCUACGGGAGGCAGCAGUGGGGAAUUUUGGACAAUGGGCGCAAGCCUGAUCCAGCCAUUCCGCGUGAGUGAAGAAGGGCCCUUCGGGUUGUUAAAGCUCUUUCGCAAGGAAGAAACUUAUCUCCUAAUACGAGUGAGGUUGACGGUACCUUGAUAAGAAGCACCGGCUAACUACGUGCCAGCAGCCGCGGUAAU